UCAACAGACACAGAUGCUUCCCUAUCUUCAUAUGAUGAAGAUCAGGGACCCAAACUUAUUAGAAAAGCUAAAGACGCACCAUUCAUCCCCAUUGGAAUGGCAGGUUUUGCAGCAAUUGUUGUAUAGGGAUUAUACAAAUUGAAGAGCAGGGGAAAUACUAAAAUGCCCCUUCAUCUGAUCCACGUGUGUGUGGCAGCCCAAGACUUUGUUGUAGGAGUAAUGACUCUUGGCAUGGGCUAUUCCAUGUAUUAGGAAUUCUGGGCAAUCCUAAGCCUUAG
This 278-nucleotide long non-coding RNA is filed under the name Homo sapiens (human). RNAcentral's name for it is "non-protein coding lnc-PEX2-4:1". The record is from RNAcentral. Lineage: Eukaryota; Metazoa; Chordata; Mammalia; Primates; Hominidae.